RNAcentral lists this long non-coding RNA (1542 nucleotides) under Sphaeramia orbicularis (orbiculate cardinalfish). Its description in RNAcentral is "lncRNA (ENSSORG00005009921.1)". Lineage: Eukaryota; Metazoa; Chordata; Actinopteri; Kurtiformes; Apogonidae. The record is from RNAcentral.
GAGAAAGACACCAAAAUGAAUUUACUAUCACUGACAAAAAUCUGACAGGAAGUCAUGGUGUUUUGACAGAGAAGGAACCUGUAGCAACUCCUGCAAGAAAAGUAUCAUCAUUUAGUAAAUACAAGACCCUUCCUCCUAUCUGUGCCGACAGUGGCUCCGAUACAUUAGGAAACAUUUGUGCCAGGCUGACAAAAGCUGAGCGGCGGGAAAAACGGCAGUCAGCGAAGGUACAGAAAGACUCCGAACCCCCCCAGCCUGAUCUACUGCACCUACGGGUCACAGCACAUUCACAUGGUCUCACCCCCGAUCAGCUGAACGAGCAGCACAGAUGCCUCCAGUCAGAUGAGCCCCAGAGGUCUGAAUCCUUUUCUUCCAGCCCAACACUCCCUGCUGGGAAGACUCCACCCACACACGGUCCAGAGAGAGACGUCCUCACAUACGUAUUCAGCUCCCUGCUCCGGGACAUACUGGACGACCCAGCCUUCGCCCAGUAUCUGAUUACUUCUCCGUUCAAGCCCGUCCUUUAUCAGGCUCUGCAAACGGCUCCGCCCCCGUGCAAAUCCCAGAAAACGUCUUCUUCAGCUGCACCUCAGUGUCUCUGGCAUGUGUCAGAAGAUGAGCUGAGAGAACAACACAGCGCAGCGGACGGUGACGAAGCCGCAGGACGCUCAGAAAAUGAGACUCACACGCCCUCAGACCGCCUCUCUGCUGAACACACUGACAUAGUUGAAGAUGUUUUGGUCCAAGUCCUGCAGAACGUGAUGGUGGAAGCUUCCAGAGGAGAGCUGGACCUUACAGCGCACCCCCGCUCUGUCAUCCUACCGCCUCAUUCUGCCAGGAGGAUGUCCCGGGCCAUGGCUGAGAAGCCGAAGAACAAAAACAAACCAGCAGGGACUUAAUACGAAGACUUUUUUCACACUUUUAUGGACUAAUUUACAAAUGUUUUAGAUAUUCAUUCCAUUUCAACACCCUCCCUUGUUGAACUGGUAAGUGUCAUAUUGGCCUCAUAGUGGAUCAAGGACCAAAACUGCAAAAUUAAGCCAAUGCGGAAGUUAUUAAAGGUGUAAUACGACUUAAAGACAGUGUUCUUGGUAGUUCUUCUCAAUUCAACUGGACUGGUUUAGCUCUUUUGACGAUGACCCAGGCAAAUGAGAUUCUUGUAGUUUAUUCAUUUAUUUGGGUUUUAUUUAUUCUUCCGUACAGCACUGUUUUCUUUAUUGUACAGUUCUGCGUCUUUAAAUUUAUUCUGUAUUUUAUUCCAUUUUGGUUUUAAUUAUUCUUCUGUGCAGCACUUGGGUCCACUGCAGUUGUUUUAAAGUGCUUUACAAAUAAAGUUGGAUUGGAUCGGAAUGAGAACCUACACAGACGACGUACGGCCAGUAGACGAUGCUCUAAACAGCCGUGGUUCCCAUAGACAUCCACUGAACUGAACUAAGAACACUUACUACACUGCAAAAGUCUAAAUCUGACCAAGUGUAUUUUUCUCAUUUCUAGUCCAAAUAUCUCAUCACACUUAAAAUCAGGCAGAAUCACCGAAAGAGG